UACGAGGGGGACAAGCGUUGUUCGGAAUUAUUGGGCGUAAAGGGCGCGUAGGCGGCGCCACAAGUCACUUGUGAAAACUCUGAGCUCAACUCAGAGCCUGCAAGCGAAACUGUGGUGCUGGAGUAUGAGAGAGGUGCGUGGAAUUCCCGGUGUAGCGGUGAAAUGCGUAGAUAUCGAGAGGAACACCUGUGGCGAAAGCGGCGCACUGGACCAUAACUGACGCUGAGGCGCGAAAGCUAAAAGAGCAAACAGG
RNAcentral lists this ribosomal RNA (253 nucleotides) under uncultured bacterium. RNAcentral's name for it is "partial 16S ribosomal RNA". It matches the Rfam family "Bacterial small subunit ribosomal RNA", at positions 524 to 776 of the family's 1533-position model. The record is from RNAcentral.